Molecule: ribosomal RNA, 108 nt
Filed under: Staphylococcus aureus
Lineage: Bacteria; Bacillati; Bacillota; Bacilli; Caryophanales; Staphylococcaceae
Source: RNAcentral
UGGUGACUAUAGCAAGGAGGUCACACCUGUUCCCAUGCCGAACACAGAAGUUAAGCUCCUUAGCGUCGAUGGUAGAUGAGCCGCAUUGAGACCGCAAGGUCUCUUUUU